Molecule: ribosomal RNA, 541 nt
Filed under: Mycoplasma wenyonii
Lineage: Bacteria; Bacillati; Mycoplasmatota; Mollicutes; Mycoplasmatales; Mycoplasmataceae
Description: bacterial SSU rRNA
Rfam family: Bacterial small subunit ribosomal RNA
Source: RNAcentral
UGAUGGGUAGCUGGACUGAGAGGUUGAACAGCCGCAAUGGGAUUGAGAAAUGGCCCAUAUUCCUACGGGAAGCAGCAGUGAGGAAUUUUUCACAAUGGACGAAAGUCUGAUGGAGCAAUACCACGUGAACGAUGAAGGUCUUCUGAUUGUAAAGUUCUUUUAUUUAGGAAAAAAAGCGCGGCAGGAAAUGGCCGCGCCUUGAUUGUACUAAUUGAAUAAGUGACAGCUAACUAUGUGCCAGCAGCUGCGGUAAAACAUAGGUCACGAGCAUUAUCCGGAUUUAUUGGGCGUAAAGGAAGCGUAGGCUGAAAUGUGUAUUCAUUGUUAAAAAUAUUUGCUUAACAAGUGUUCGCGGUGAAGAUUACAUUUCUAGAAUUAGUUAGAGGGUACUGGAAUUCAAUGUGUAGUGGUGGAAUACGUAGAUAUAUUGAGGAACACCAGAGGCUAAGGCGAGUGCCUGGAACAUAAUUGACGCUGAGGCUUGAAAGCGUGGGUAGCAAAUGGGAUUAGAUACCCCAGUAGUCCACGCCGUAAACGAUGG